GACGAACGCUGGCGGCGUGCUUAACACAUGCAAGUCGAACGGAAAGGCCCUGCUUUUGUGGGGUGCUCGAGUGGCGAACGGGUGAGUAACACGUGAGUAACCUGCCCUUGACUUUGGGAUAACUUCAGGAAACUGGGGCUAAUACCGGAUAGGAGCUCCUGCUGCAUGGUGGGGGUUGGAAAGUUUCGGCGGUUGGGGAUGGACUCGCGGCUUAUCAGCUUGUUGGUGGGGUAGUGGCUUACCAAGGCUUUGACGGGUAGCCGGCCUGAGAGGGUGACCGGCCACAUUGGGACUGAGAGAGGGCCCAGACUCCUACGGGAGGCAGCAGUGGGGAAUAUUGCACAAUGGGCGGAAGCCUGAUGCAGCAACGCCGGGUGCGGGAUGACGGCCUUCGGGUUGUAAACCGCUUUCGCCUGUGACGAAGCGUGAGUGACGGUAAUGGGUAAAGAAGCACCGGCUAACUACGUG
Molecule: ribosomal RNA, 468 nt
Filed under: uncultured bacterium
Lineage: Bacteria
Description: partial 16S ribosomal RNA
Rfam family: Bacterial small subunit ribosomal RNA
Source: RNAcentral